UCUCCGUAGGUGAACCUGCGGAGGGAUCAUUACAGAGUUCAUGCCCUACCGGGUAGAUCUCCCACCCUAUGUUAUUAUUACUUUGUUGCUUUGGCGGGCCGUUAGGCUCCGGCCCGACUACCGGCCCCGGCUGGUAAGCGCCCGCCAGAGGACCCAAAACCCUGAAGAUUAGUGUCGUCUGAGUACUAUAUAAUAGUUAAAACUUUCAACAACGGAUCUCUUGGCUCUG
This 229-nucleotide unclassified non-coding RNA is filed under the name plant metagenome. Its description in RNAcentral is "partial contains small subunit ribosomal RNA, internal transcribed spacer 1, and 5.8S ribosomal RNA". The record is from RNAcentral.